GACGUAGGGGGCGAGCGUUGUCCGGAGUUACUGGGCGUAAAGCGUGCGUAGGCGGUUUGUUAAGUCCGUUGUGAAAGCCCUGGGCUCAACCUGGGAAUUGCAGUGGAUACUGGCGAGCUAGAGUGCGGUAGAGGAUGGUGGAAUUCCCGGUGUAGCGGUGAAAUGCGUAGAGAUCGGGAGGAACACCCGUGGCGAAGGCGGCCAUCUGGACCAGCACUGACGCUGAGGCACGAAAGCGUGGGGAGCAAACAGG
Molecule: ribosomal RNA, 253 nt
Filed under: uncultured bacterium
Lineage: Bacteria
Description: partial 16S ribosomal RNA
Rfam family: Bacterial small subunit ribosomal RNA
Source: RNAcentral